RNAcentral lists this transfer RNA (62 nucleotides) under Aphrodita australis. Its description in RNAcentral is "tRNA-Val". Lineage: Eukaryota; Metazoa; Annelida; Polychaeta; Phyllodocida; Aphroditidae. The record is from RNAcentral.
CAUCAUAGAACAUGUUUAUGUAUCUUGUUUACACCAAGAAAAAGGUUUAAAACCUAUGAUGU